This 506-nucleotide long non-coding RNA is filed under the name Homo sapiens (human). Its description in RNAcentral is "HSALNT0227718". Lineage: Eukaryota; Metazoa; Chordata; Mammalia; Primates; Hominidae. The record is from RNAcentral.
UUACUGGUCACCUGGUGCUGGGGAGGAAGGAAGAACUGGGAGGGGGGAUGACUAAGGAUAACAGGGUUCCUUGUUGGGGAAAUGAAAAUGUUCUAAAAUCAAUUGAAUUGUGGUGAUGGAUGCACCGUUAUAUUAUCAUUCUGAUGCAACUGACUAACCUGGUGACUGUGUCAUGAGGCCCACAGCCAAGGACUGCGGUGACCAGUUGCUGUGGGGAGACUCCAGCACAUUACUGACGGGACUUCCCGAUGGGGAAGGACUUCCUGGUGCCACGCUGUUGAUUGUUUUCUGCAUGGCUUAUGAUAUGUUGUCAUUACCAUGGGGAUUACACGAAACAUCCUGAAGUUAGAGCAAUCCAUUUUAAACUGAUGUUUUGUUGAUGGCUGACGUAGCGGACUCAAAACAACGAGCACUUCUGCUUGAUACACAGAUUCUCCGAGGUUCCUGUGGAGCCACAGCACCUCCUGUCUUGGCACUUCAUAGUUGUCUCAUCGAGUCCAAGGCUG